Molecule: long non-coding RNA, 1616 nt
Organism: Papaver somniferum (opium poppy)
Lineage: Eukaryota; Viridiplantae; Streptophyta; Magnoliopsida; Ranunculales; Papaveraceae
Exons: 4
Source: RefSeq, a predicted model, not a curated record
UAUCGAACAGCACCAAAACUUCCCUCUUCUCUCUCGAUUCCUUUCUUCUCCAUUGAAAUCUCUCUUCAUCUUUGUCAAAUUUUCAUUCUAAAUUUCGAAUAAUCGUUACUCAAUUUCGAAUUUAGUUCAUAGUUUUGAUUUGAUUGAUUGAAAAUUCAAUCAUCUCUAACCUGUAAUUCGAAUUGGGUGAAUUGAUCGAACCACCACCACCAUCACCAACUUCGUUUUUUGCUUUUUACAUCGAAAUUGGGUGAUUGAUUGAACCACCACCACUGUCACCAUCUUCGUUCUCUGCUUACUCAAGGUUGAGGAGUUCAGGUGAGGGUUACAUGACUUUCUUAAUGAAUUUCUUAAUCUCGUCUCAGCUUGAAAGUUAAAGGGAAAGGGCCUAUUAUGUAUGUCAAUUUUAUUAUGCUUAGAUAAAAAGUAGUGGCGAAUUUUGAAUGUAGAUACUAAGUUUUGGAAUUUCAGACAUGGGAUUUCGAUUGUUUAUUCCAUUGUUUUGGAAUUUCAGACAUGGGAUUUUUUCUAUAUGUACAAUCUCAUGCAUUGAAUUCCAUUGUUUUGGAAUUUGAUUGUUGUUCUAUCCAUGUUUCUUUUACCAUUGUUAUGGAACAUCACCUGUUUGUCUAAUUUUCUAAUAGAAUACCAACAUUGUUUAUUGCGUUAACGUCUUCUGUUACACCUGUGGAUGGACGAGUUCUCAUCCACGACAAAGUCCGAGACUUACUGAUUUAGCUCAAGUUUGAGACUUAACUGAGAGUGAUACUGAAAAAGAAAGGUGGCUGCGUCGUGCUCAAUAUAUGGCAAAACUAGAUUCAACUACGAAAGGCGAAAGACAUGAGCGCAAUGAAUGACGUCCUGCGCUUAUCGCGCAAGAAUUAGUGCAGCAAAUCGCUAACUAGAGGAUCGUGAAGCCAGUUUUUUCCAGCUGUGAACAUGAGAGGCUGGGGAUUUAGAAGAUCCAUUAUAGAGAGAACUCAAAGAGAAUCAAUAUCUUUUGUUAUAGGGUUCAGUGUAUACCAAAAAUACAUGCACAUGAUGAGGUCCAAAAAGGUUGCAGAAAAGAGAUUGUUGUAGCAUCAAUUAGAAGUUCUAUUUAUGGAGUGAUUUAAACGUCGUGAAGCUGAUGCAAAAAAUGAGGCUAGAAAGCAGAAAAGAGGAGAAAAAGACUUUUGCAGAGUAGCUACAGGUGGGAGAGAGUCCAGAACAGAAAGUCAACUUGCAUCUUCCAUGCCAAAAUGUGCCGAAACAUUUGAUAUUAUAUGCAUAUUUCGGGGUUUGAAAACAUGAACAUCCCUAUGCCAAAAUAUGCCGACUGAGAAAGCCAUUUUUCUCUCCCAGGAACGACGAUGUGGCGGAAAGGCUGCAGAAAUUAAAGACAAGGGAUCAUCAACACAGGAAAACGGACCAGUAAUCCUCUUUUGUUCCAUAGACAACAUAUUGUGCCAACAAAUAAAUUAUGGGUGUUGUUCAACUGACAACAUAGCUGGGUUCAAAUAAUUGCAUUUUAAGUUAUGGAAAUCGGGUUGUUAAUCAGGGAUUCACAAUGUGGUAUGAUUCUGACAUUUGAGUCCCCAUAUAAUAGAUUCCUAAAUUGGUUUAUUUUGAUUUUA